AGAUAGCUUGCUAUUUUUAUGAAGAGCGGCGAACGGGUGAGUAACGCGUGGGAAAUCUGCCGAGUAGCGGGGGACAACGUUUGGAAACGAACGCUAAUACCGCAUAACAAUGAGAAUCGCAUGAUUCUUAUUUAAAAGAAGCAAUUGCUUCACUACUUGAUGAUCCCGCGUUGUAUUAGCUAGUUGGUAGUGUAAAGGACUACCAAGGCGAUGAUACAUAGCCGACCUGAGAGGGUGAUCGGCCACACUGGGACUGAGACACGGCCCAGACUCCUACGGGAGGCAGCAGUAGGGAAUCUUCGGCAAUGGGGGCAACCCUGACCGAGCAACGCCGCGUGAGUGAAGAAGGUUUUCGGAUCGUAAAACUCUGUUGUUAGAGAAGAACGUUAAGUAGAGUGGAAAAUUACUUAAGUGACGGUAUCUAACCAGAAAGGGACGGCUAACUACGUGCCAGCAGCCGCGGUAAUACGUAGGUCCCAAGCGUUGUCCGGAUUUAUUGGGCGUAAAGCGAGCGCAGGUGGUUUCUUAAGUCUGAUGUAAAAGGCAGUGGCUCAACCAUUGUGUGCAUUGGAAACUGGGAGACUUGAGUGCAGGAGAGGAGAGUGGAAUUCCAUGGGUUAC
Molecule: ribosomal RNA, 621 nt
Filed under: Lactococcus garvieae
Lineage: Bacteria; Bacillati; Bacillota; Bacilli; Lactobacillales; Streptococcaceae
Description: bacterial SSU rRNA
Rfam family: Bacterial small subunit ribosomal RNA
Source: RNAcentral